AGAUUGAACGCUGGCGGCAUGCCUUACACAUGCAAGUCGAACGGCAGCACGGGAGCAAUCCUGGUGGCGAGUGGCGAACGGGUGAGUAAUAUAUCGGAACGUGCCCAGUCGUGGGGGAUAACGCAGACGAAAGCUGUGCUAAUACCGCAUACGAUCUAUGGAUGAAAGCGGGGAUCGCAAGACCUCGCGCGAUUGGAGCGGCCGAUAUCAGAUUAGUCUUAGGUUGGUAGGGGUAAAACGCCUAACCGAAGGCCGAACGAUCUGGUACGCGUGGUCGUGGAGACGGACGACCAGCCACACGUGGAACUGAGACACGGUCCAGGACUCCGUACGGGAGGCAGCGUAGGUCGGGGUAAAUUUUCGGGAAC
RNAcentral lists this ribosomal RNA (368 nucleotides) under uncultured soil bacterium. RNAcentral describes it as "bacterial SSU rRNA". It matches the Rfam family "Bacterial small subunit ribosomal RNA", at positions 26 to 372 of the family's 1533-position model. The record is from RNAcentral.